This 253-nucleotide ribosomal RNA is filed under the name uncultured bacterium. RNAcentral describes it as "partial 16S ribosomal RNA". It matches the Rfam family "Bacterial small subunit ribosomal RNA", at positions 524 to 776 of the family's 1533-position model. The record is from RNAcentral.
UACGUAGGGUGCAAGCGUUACUCGGAAUUACUGGGCGUAAAGCGCGCGUAGGCGGCUUUGCAAGUCGGGCGUGAAAUCCCCAGGCUUAACCUGGGAACUGCAUUCGAGACUGCAUUGCUAGAGUAUGGGAGAGGGAAGUGGAAUUUCCGGUGUAGCGGUGAAAUGCGUAGAUAUCGGAAGGAACAUCAGUGGCGAAAGCGACUUCCUGGACCAAUACUGACGCUCAUGUGCGAAAGCGUGGGGAGCAAACAGG